GAUGAAGAACGUAGCGAAAUGCGAUACUUGGUGUGAAUUGCAGAAUCCCGUGAACCUUCGAGUCUUUGAACGCAAGUUGCGCCCGAAGCCACUAGGCCGAGGGCACGCCUGCCUGGGCGUCACACGCCGUUGCCCCCCCAUCUACUCCUUCGGGAUUGCGGGGGGGCGGAUGAUGGCCUCCCGUGCGCCUAGCCGCGCGGUUGGCAUAAAUACCAAGUCCUCGGCGACGCACGCCACGACAAUCGGUGGUUGCGAAACCUCGGUUGCCCGUCGUGUGCGUUCGUCGCGCAUCGAGGGCUCGAAAAAAUGCUCGGCUCCGGCUGGGCUUUCAACGCGACCCCAGGUCAGGCGGGGUUACCCGCUGAAUUUAAGCAUAUCAAUAAGCGGAGGA
Molecule: unclassified non-coding RNA, 391 nt
Filed under: soil metagenome
Description: partial contains 5.8S ribosomal RNA, internal transcribed spacer 2, and large subunit ribosomal RNA
Rfam family: 5.8S ribosomal RNA (bases 1-122)
Source: RNAcentral